UGGGGGAUAUUGCACAAUGGGCGAAAGCCUGAUGCAGCGACGCCGCGUGGGGGAUGAAGGCCUUCGGGUUGUAAACUUCUUUUGCUCUGAACAAGGCAUGCUAAUGGGUGUGUUGAGUGUAGGGGUUGAUUAGCGCCGGCUAACUACGUGCCAGCAGCCGCGGUAAUACGUAGGGCGCGAGCGUUGUCCGGAAUUAUUGGGCGUAAAGGGCUUGUAGGUGGCUGGUUGCGUCUGUCGUGAAAGCUCAUGGCUUAACUGUGGGUUUGCGGUGGGUACGGGCUGGCUUGAGUGCAGUAGGGGAGGCUGGAAUUCCUGGUGUAGCGGUGGGAUGCGCAGAUAUCAGGGGGAAUGCCGGUGGCGAAGGCGGGUCUCUGGGCUGUUACUGACACUGAGGAGCGAAAGCAUGGGGAGCGAACAGG
RNAcentral lists this ribosomal RNA (419 nucleotides) under bacterium. RNAcentral describes it as "partial 16S ribosomal RNA". It matches the Rfam family "Bacterial small subunit ribosomal RNA", at positions 355 to 776 of the family's 1533-position model. The record is from RNAcentral.